RNAcentral lists this long non-coding RNA (1328 nucleotides) under Homo sapiens (human). RNAcentral's name for it is "non-protein coding lnc-BOD1-1:8". The record is from RNAcentral. Lineage: Eukaryota; Metazoa; Chordata; Mammalia; Primates; Hominidae.
AAAAACUUCUCUAGCUGCUGUGUCACAAAGAUACUGGAAAGGGGCAAGGUGAAGGAGGAGACCAGCAGAGCAGCCACGGCCGGGACAGUGCAGAGGAGGGAAGAUGACACAGCUGUGAGACAUUUUGGGGAAUAGGUCCUUCUGUCACGGGGCACAGGACCCUUGACCGCAAAAUGACGUGAGUUACCACUGACUAUUUUCUGGGUCUUGAUCUUGUGACUCCAAAUGGAUGGUACAGCUUGAGCAAAGACACAGAAGCAGAAGGCAGGUUUUUGGUUCCAUGAACUCUACAUCUGGCUACAUACAAAUGGUGAAGAGGAACAGGGAGAAACAUGGUUGAAAAGAACAGGCUUGGACUUCAGGAAGCAGUAAAAUGAGCGAAUGCCAUUUAUGGUUACAAAGAUAACUCAGCUGGGGGCCAAACAGAGACUGAAAUGGAGUGGGUGAGGAUGGAGGCCGGGAGGAGAUGGCUGCAGAGGUCCCAGCAAUGACAGUGGUUGUGGGAAGGGGCAACCCCAAGUCUUGUGCUCCCAACUGCAAAUCCAGUGCUUUUUCUAAAAAAAUAUUUAAAUAAUUUAUUUAUUUUUGAGAUGGAGUCUCGCUCUGUCACCCAGGCUGGAGUGCAGUGACACAAUGUCGGCUCGUGCAACCUCUGCCCCCCGGGUUCAAGCGAUUCUCCUGCCUCAGCCUCCCAAGUAGCUGGGAUUACAGACGCACGCCUCCACGCCUGGCUAAUUUUUUAUAUUUUUGGUAGAGAUGGGGUUUCACCAUGUUGCCCAGGCUGGUCUCGAACUCCUGACUUCAAGUGAUCCACCCACCUCGGCCUCCCAAAGUACUAGGAUGACAGGCGUGAGCCACUGUGCCCAGCCUUAUUUUUUUUUUUAAUUUAUAUUUUCAGAGGCAAACGAUCCUUGCUCAUUAAAAAAAGGAAAUAGAAAUUCAAAACAAAAAUGCCUGUAUCUGAUGGGAAAGAUGAGCCCAAUGUUCUUUUUUAAAAAACCUUUAUUAUGAAAUAUUUCAACUGAACAUAUGCAGUUUAUAUUGUUAUAAAGCAUAACAAGCAAUCAAACAGCUGUGAACCCACCACUCCAUGUCAGAACUAGAACUUCCCAAAGCAGUCGGAGCUGAGGUGAGAUCCACUCUGAUGCCCUUCCCCAACUCCACGCCACCCCCCAAGACCUGACCACCUGAUUACUCUGGGAUUUCAUUUUUGUCUCGUUCCCUUGCUUUGCUUUAUGUCUUUACCAAAUGUGAAUGUGUGCCUAAACAAUACAGUGCUCGAUUUGCUUGUGUUUAAGCUUUAUUACAAAUAUAACUUUGAUCCUUCU